RNAcentral lists this ribosomal RNA (319 nucleotides) under uncultured eukaryote. RNAcentral describes it as "partial 18S ribosomal RNA". It matches the Rfam family "Eukaryotic small subunit ribosomal RNA", at positions 1470 to 1796 of the family's 1831-position model. The record is from RNAcentral.
UGCUUAGAUGGUCUGGGCGGCACGCGCGCUACAAUGAUGCAUUCAGAAAGUCUUCUGACCUUAGAAGGUUGGGUAUUCUCCAAAGUGCAUCGUGAUGGGAAUAGUUUAUUGCAAUUUUUAAUCUUGAACGAGGAAUUUCUAGUAAAUACAGGUCAUCAACUUGUGUUGAUUACGUCCCUGCCCUUUGUACACACCGCCCGUCGCUCCUACUGAUUGAGUGUCUCGGUGAAUUCUUUGAUUCUCUGUCGAUUCAGUUCACUGAUCCGACGGUGGAAAGUUGAAUGAACUUCGUCACUUAGAGGAAGGAGAAGUCGUAACA